GUUUUAAUGUCCUUUCUUUUUUCUUUUUUGCCACAGCAGCUUGCCUGAUCUUGGCAUUAUUUCUGAAACUUGGAAGACAAAAGAGGAGGAGGCAGAGAACAUACUGAGGUUCACCGUGGCAGGGAAAAGGUGAGAAGAAGAAUAUUUGAAAUCUUACCUGUAAUGGUAAAAUCUUACCUGAGAUGGACAAUCAGAGACAAUGCUGUUCAGCUGGUAGAACUGCGUUGCUGACUGAGUCAGUGUUAGGAUUUUUGUGAAAUUCAUAUUGCUUCUGAUGGUUUUGCCUGCUGGUGAUAAAAGAGGGAAUAUGUGAAGAGUGAUAAAGGUGGAGCAGCUUCCAUGUGAUGAAGGAAAUUUGACACUCUUCAGCCUGGAGUAGAAUCAGCUGAC
Molecule: long non-coding RNA, 390 nt
Organism: Melospiza melodia melodia
Lineage: Eukaryota; Metazoa; Chordata; Aves; Passeriformes; Passerellidae
Exons: 3
Source: RefSeq, a predicted model, not a curated record